AAUGUUGCAUGAUACAACAUUUUUACUCAGCCUUCCAAGCUGAAGACGCGGGUUCGAUUCCCGUCAUUCCCUCCA
Molecule: transfer RNA, 75 nt
Filed under: Corynebacterium aurimucosum ATCC 700975
Lineage: Bacteria; Bacillati; Actinomycetota; Actinomycetes; Mycobacteriales; Corynebacteriaceae
Description: tRNA-Und (NNN) (tRNA-Und-NNN-2-1)
Rfam family: tRNA
About the family: Transfer RNA (tRNA) molecules are approximately 80 nucleotides in length. Their secondary structure includes four short double-helical elements and three loops (D, anti-codon, and T loops). Further hydrogen bonds mediate the characteristic L-shaped molecular structure. tRNAs have two regions of fundamental functional importance: the anti-codon, which is responsible for specific mRNA codon recognition, and the 3' end, to which the tRNAs corresponding amino acid is attached (by aminoacyl-tRNA synthetases). tRNAs cope with the degeneracy of the genetic code in two manners: having more than one tRNA (with a specific anti-codon) for a particular amino acid; and 'wobble' base-pairing, i.e. permitting non-standard base-pairing at the 3rd anti-codon position.
Source: RNAcentral